This 172-nucleotide unclassified non-coding RNA is filed under the name uncultured Halosphaeriaceae. Its description in RNAcentral is "sequence contains ITS2". Lineage: Eukaryota; Fungi; Ascomycota; Sordariomycetes; Microascales; Halosphaeriaceae. The record is from RNAcentral. RNAcentral also lists the same sequence under 1 other name.
CAACCACUCAGGCCCUGGUGCCUGGCGUCGGGGUAUUUCUGUAACAAGAAAUCCCCUAGAACCAGUGGCGGACCCGCCGCGGCUCCGAGCGUAGUAGUAAAAUAUCUCGCUAUGGAGGCCCGUGGAGGGAUUACCGGCCGUAAAACCUCUUCUUUACUGAAGAACUUCUCAA